This 403-nucleotide ribosomal RNA is filed under the name alpha proteobacterium SCGC AAA278-E14. Its description in RNAcentral is "bacterial SSU rRNA". It matches the Rfam family "Bacterial small subunit ribosomal RNA", at positions 352 to 772 of the family's 1533-position model. Lineage: Bacteria; Pseudomonadati; Pseudomonadota; Alphaproteobacteria. The record is from RNAcentral.
CAGUGGGGAAUCUUGCACAAUGGAGGAAACUCUGAUGCAGCGAUGCCGCGUGAGUGAAGAAGGCCUUUGGGUUGUAAAGCUCUUUUGUAGGGGAAGAUAAUGACUGUACCCUAAGAAUAAGGUCCGGCUAACUUCGUGCCAGCAGCCGCGGUAAUACGAAGGGACCUAGCGUAGUUCGGAAUUACUGGGCGUAAAGCGCGCGUAGGCCGUUGAGUUAGUUAAUUGUGAAAUCCCAAAGCUUAACUUUGGAACUGCAAUUAAAACUGCUCGACUAGAGUUUGAUAGAGGAAAGCGGAAUACAUAGUGUAGAGGUGAAAUUCGUAGAUAUUAUGUAGAACACCAGUUGCGAAGGCGGCUUUCUGGAUCAACACUGACGCUGAGGCGCGAAAGUAUGGGUAGCAAA